GACGAACGCUGGCGACGUGCUUAACACAUGCAAGCCGAACGGAAAGGCCUGCUUUCCCUUGUGGAUUGCGGGUACUCGAGUGGCGAACGGGUGAGUAACACGUGAGUGAUCUGCCCCCAACUUGGGUAUAAGCCUGGGAAACUGGGUCUAAUUCCCGAUAGGACUGCAGGGUGGUGCCUGUGGUGGAAAACGAUUUUCUAGUGGUUGGGGAUGAGCUCGCGGCCUAUCAGCUUGUUGGUGGGGUAAUGGCCUACCAAGGCGGCGACGGGUAGCCGGCCUGAGAGGGUGGACGGCCACAUUGGGACUGAGAUACGGCCCAGACUCCUACGGGAGGCAGCAGUGGGGAAUAUUGCACAAUGGGCGGAAGCCUGAUGCAGCGACGCCGCGUGGGGGAUGACGGCCUUCGGGUUGUAAACUCCUUUCGACCGCGAGGAAGCCACCUGGUUGGAAGGGUGGUGACGGUAGUGGUAGAAGAAGCACCGGCUAACUACGUG
This 494-nucleotide ribosomal RNA is filed under the name uncultured bacterium. RNAcentral describes it as "partial 16S ribosomal RNA". It matches the Rfam family "Bacterial small subunit ribosomal RNA", at positions 28 to 507 of the family's 1533-position model. The record is from RNAcentral.